Long non-coding RNA from Panicum virgatum (switchgrass), 5381 nucleotides. RefSeq lists it as uncharacterized. NCBI's taxonomy places the organism in Eukaryota, Viridiplantae, Streptophyta, Magnoliopsida, Poales, Poaceae. The record is from RefSeq and is a predicted model, not a curated record. The transcript has 3 exons.
GGAUCCUAGGUGGCUUCAUCUGGAGGCUCCACCUAGGAUCCUAGGUGGCUUCAUCUGGAGGCUUCAAAAGGAGUCUCCAAUUAGUAAUAGUAAGAUAAGAUAUUUUGUGUGUAAUUGACUGUAAGUGCAUAGAUCACUCCGAGUCCAAACCCAGUUCCCUGUUAGUACGGAGCCAACCAUGGAUCAUGGUCUUGUUGCAAAUAUGUUCACAAAAACAGAAAGUGCUGUCUUCUUUUUUUGUGAAAUAGAAAGUGUUGUCAACUACAGAUACAACAAUUUUUAAUAGUUUGGAACUUAGAAGACUCCAAUUCCCACAUCAAAAUUUUUAUGUAUAUUAUAAGACAAAAUAUUAUUAAAAUAUCAUUAGUGAUGUAAUAAAUCAUAACAAAAAUGAUUAUAUUUGUAAAAGAAAGUUGAAUAAGACCAGUCAAACGCAGUUUCUAAGGAUCAAAAAAAAUUACGGUUUUUUUGGGACGGAGGGAGUAGGUUGUAGCCAGAGCCAAGGAGUCUUCCAGAUUUAACCCAAUCAAUCUACUAUAUACUACUAUCUAAAGUCGUGUUUACCACUCCAGUGAAGUGAAUCUGCCUCCCUGUGGUUCUGCCCCCCGCUCCGUGGCUCUGCCUUCCCUCCCCGCGCGCCCCACGUCUCCCUCGCUCGCGAGCAGUUUCCAGCUCCAGCCGCUACCUUCCACCUCCCUCGCACCGCUCUCGCCUCUACCUCAAGCCCCCUCGCCCUCGCCCUCGCUCCCGCGGCGGUCGCCAUCUCCGCCGCGCUCGACGUCCCCGCCACGCGGCCGUCCUCCCAGCGCGGAUUGGGAACCCUCCGCGCCGCCGGAGCCCCGCCCUUGUGCAUCGCCUCUGCUGCGGAUCAGCGACCCCUCCCCGCGCUUGGCCGCGGUUGCUGGACGCCUCCUCGACGCAGCCCGUCAAGCCUUCCCGAAAGAGCCAAGGAGGGCGGAGACGAGGAGCGAGCCGGCGUCUGGCAAGGAAGGCGCGGCAUCCUCGGAUCCACCAUCGCCCUCGAGGCCGAUACGGCAGCGGCCAAGGUGCGGAGACGUCGUUGCAGGCAGCGUGGUGGAUAGAGACGCCUAGGCAAAGGGAAGACAGUGGCCUGCACGGCGGCGAGCAACACCAGCACGCCAUCACCAGGUACGCAGUGACGCAUUCCUCCCUGCCGAGCACGCCAGCAACGCUGCCCUUCCCCUCCGCGCCCCACAAUGCCGAUCACGGCACUGUGCUGGAGGUCUUCACCACGUUGCCCACCAAGUGCUCGACAGAAUGCAUCAGCCAGAUAUUUUAGGGACCGAAGCAUGUUUAUGCAAGAGCUCAAAAGGUAAUGCCCUAUUAGCUCAGAAAACAUGUGUUUAACCAUAUUGAUGAUUGCUAGAAAUAUGACAUCGUAAUCAAUGUUCUAAGCUACCAUGUAUGCUGCAUCAGAAUCAAAUAGGCAUCAAGCUUUGAUUCUAUUAUGAUUGUUAGGAGGUAAAGUCCUCAAGAUGGAAAUAUGGUUAAACAUGUUGUAUUAUGAUAGUAAACAGCAGAUGGUUUGAAGUUCUUCCUUCAGGCUUCAGCUAAGUGCUGGUUACAUAGCCCAAUUUAACUCCUAUAAAUGGAUUUGAAGUUAAAAAUGAAUAGUACCAGACUACCAGUUCGGUUUAACUUAUUUUCAGUUCUAUAGAUGAACCAACUAUAGAACAUGAAUUCUUUUCUGUUCUAUAUAUAAUCCAACUAACAUCUCAUGGUGCACUUAGCUUUUUGUAUAUGGAAAAAUUGUUCACCCCACUCCAUCUUCCAAUUUUUAUAAUAUAACCCAGAUUAACCUAUACUUGGGGAUCGGACUAUAAAACUCUGAUGUGGUAUGGUAGCUGAGUACUUUUGUGGCAUAAAUUAUUGAUAGGAUCAUUGUCAUAUUGGCAAAUUUGAUAAAAUUGUUGAGAACUUGAGUGGUAAGGUCCCAGCUGAAACAACAUUGUGAGAAGUACAUUUGGCGAUUUGAUCUUUAGGCUUCAGCUAACUGCUGGUUAUAUAGCCCAAUUCAAGCAUCACGAUCGUCCGAGGAGUCGUGAUUUAUUAUAGACCCCAGAUAAAUCAUGCAUGGAGACACUACAAGAAUCAGGAACUUAACUUAGCAGUUAAUUUCAUUGCUAUAAUUUGCAGAAUUAUUUUUUUUAAUUUACUCCCAGUCCAUGUUGAUCAUGAUUUUUAUAGGUAUCAAAACAUGAGUCCCUCUCCACUGCGUCUGGUCCCACGCACGGCCUCCCCCUCUCCGCUGCUUUCCCCGCCACCCCCUGUGCCACCUACGUCUUCAUCUGGUCCGCCAAUGCCAUUGCCAAGCUCCCCAUCGACCUGGCCACGCGCAUGCUCUACAGAUGCUACCUACCUCAUGUGAAGAAGCAGCCACAGAGUUUGAGCAAACUGAAUGAUCCUUCCUUCUAACUGGGAGAAGCAGAUGCUGAAAGGGAAGCUUGCUGUUCAGAAGAUGGUUGUCAACCUGAUGGACAGUGUUUGCGAAGGAUGAGACAGAGAAUACCUCCAUACCCAAAGCCUGUGUCAGGUCUUCUUGAAUCAAAUGUUAUUCUUAUAAAAAAUGUUGUUUACAUUCCUUAUAUUUCGUAUAUUGUACAACAAAGAAUUGCACUUUUCCUUUCAGUGAAAUAGAUGAUAGCUAGACAAACUUGCAGUUACCGUUUCACUAAAAUAGAUAGACAAAAGAUAGAUCAACUAAUACCCUGAUGGUUGAUGUUGGGUAUUUGAUACCUUAAAUCCUGUUCUACAUUGCAUGAUGUUUUUCAAAAACAAUCAUAUCAUACCUGGUAGAUGCUUAAAUCAUGGGUGAAAUGUAUGGCAAAUUUACAUGAGGUUGCUUUAUGCCCUGAGAAUCUGUAGCUAGAUUGCUUCUUGACUUCUGGCAUUAACUUUUUCCGUGUUGAAUCCCUUUACACCUAUUCAAAAUUGAAACUGCUUAUUCAUCCUAUGUUAGAUAUCUGUUAGGUUGUUACGACAUGUACUACUGAUCAUAUAUCAUUUUGUUAGAAUAAGGAGGAUGUGCUUACAACAUGGAUGACGUGAGGAUAAUUCUUUUUAUUUAUCAAGCUUUGGGUUUCCUUCGGCCAUCUCAAAAUCCUGGAUAUGACAUCUCCAUUUUUCUUUCAUGUUUUGGGUACACAACUUGAGGAUUGUUUCUUGAAAGCACUUGAUUAGAAGUGGUUCACAUCUGCCCAAGAAGCUGCAGAGGUAUGCAUCCAAAUAUUUCCACCUAUUAUCUUCCUGCAUUUCUAAUAUGCUUUUCUGUACUUAGAUGGUCAUGUCCUGGCAUGCUACUACGAGAUGAUUGUUUCAACAUGCAAUUUUCCAAUUUUUUAAUUGCUCUUUAGAGCUACUUAUACUACUGCUUUAAAACUGAUUUGACUUUGGAUAUGGUGCUGAGGAUUUCAAAAUGAUGGCCAAGAGUGCUCGACUUCAGCAAUCAGGUUGUGCCUAUCUGUGUUGUUCCAUAAAUCUAAUAAGAUAAAGCUUUGAUAGUUGUGCCUAUACAUACUUGUAAUUUUUUAGUCAAUAAAUCAAUGAAUCUAUUUUGUGUGAAUAUUUCACACUACGGGAAGUAGGAUGUCCUCCCUCAGCAGUCAUUCAACAAUUUUGUGGGAGGCAGUGAGGAAGUCAUUUGAAGAAAGAUGCAUCACUGUCUAUUUUGCCAAACAUGUCCCUUAUCAAGAAUGCGUACCAGCCCAGCACAAAUAUAAAUAUCUAUGCCGAUAGCAAUCUCUUACGUUGUAUUUUGGUUGAAUGUUUGAUGUGGAUAUCUGCUUGGUUGUUUGUUGCAUCAUAAUCUGUCCCCAUAUACCCUUUUUGUUAGUGUUAUAAAACAAAGUUUGAUUCCCGUAGCAACGCACGGGCAUUCAACUAGUCAGACUUGAAAAAUGCAAACAAAGCAAGGACAUGCAUACUAGGCCAUAGUGUUGUCAAAAGCAAAAGGUAUUUGCAGCCCUGAAUCGCAAUAGCUUUCUCUUAAGUACGAAGGAACUGGAGCCUGGAGGCUCUGCACGAUGACAGGCAUUAGCGCUGGGAAAAGCGCAGAGUAUUUUAGCACAUGUGAACACUGCUCGUGAGCUCCCUCUGUUGCCGACCUGUACCGAAUCAUUGGUGCGCCCCCGAUUCAGUGCUCCACCUCCAUGUGGCCCAUCCAUCCCAAGGGCACCAAAGUUAUUUGCAGAUGACUCAGUCCACAUGGAUGCCUGGUCAGCACGAGGGAAAGCAAGUGACACUGCACUUGGCACUCCGAGAGGCUCCCCCAAGCUCUCAUCUCAUUCUGAGGACCGUGGAAGGACCAAAAGAUCUCUAGGACGGGCCUAACAGCACCUGAAAAAGAUCAAGCUGCCGGUCACUGCCUGAAUGUCUCCUCCCUGAUCUGUGCCGAACAAUGCUGCGCGACCGCCAUGUCGGUGCCGCCGAUCGGCAGAUGGCUAGGGAAGAGGAUCCGGUCUCCAGGCAAUCCAUGGCAGGGUCCCCCUAGCUCUGGCUGCCCUUGGGACAAAGGCACCAGCCUAAUUUUGUCGUCCCUGCCUGGCCUAAUUUGUCCUCCCAUUAUUAGGCAUUGGCUCCUUGCAUCAUGUGUUUUUUGCCUUCUUUAAAAGGCAGUUAGCUUCUGAAUAAUUGAGUUCUUUUAUUAGCUCACAACGAUUUACCGGUAGCUGUGCCUGUGAUGGGCAUUUCUAUCGGUUGAUCUUCAUCUUCCCCUUGUGGAUUGCUGGAUCAGAGGUGGCCAAGAGUCGCAGACUAGCUUCAUGACCAAGAUCGCCAUACGCAUUAGUCGUCAAAAGGCAUGCAAAACCCCACUCCAAAGGCAUUGACAGUGGCCUGCACUGUGCUGCACUUGUGUGGGGACUGGCUGAGAAAGCAACAUGGAAAGGGGAUCGGUCAUGGCUCGGUGCAAAUGUGAUGCAUCACGCUUUGGAGGAAAAAAAAGUGUAACACCUCAUGUGCUAAUCGCCAUAAUUAGAUUAAUUAGGGUCAUUAGUGCUAACUCACAUGACAAUCCACCAAACUAGAAUUUUUCCUGUCAGUUAGGGCCAGACCGGUCUGACCGGUGGAGUCAACCGGUCUGACCGGUUGAACCGAUGUCAACCGUUUUGAGCCCCACAACAUUUAAAUCACUCUCUCUCUUCCUCAUCAGUUCACUCCUCACCAUGCCAGCUCCCUCCCUCUCCCGAGCUCCCUCCUCCCCAAACCCUCACUCCCUAAUCUCUCACCUAAAUCCAUUUCAAGGCUUGGGGGAGCUUCAAAUCGGGGUCAAGGAUCAUCCUCUCCAUGUGCUCCUCCCCGGGGUGAUGUGGAAUCUCCAGUUUUUCGUGGGAGAGAAGCCAAUCAAGCCGCGGCGGAGGAGA